RNA transcript from Juglans regia (Persian walnut), 2203 nucleotides. It is a transcript of the gene named folate synthesis bifunctional protein, mitochondrial-like, with no coding region annotated. The transcript has 4 exons. The record is from RefSeq and is a predicted model, not a curated record. Lineage: Eukaryota; Viridiplantae; Streptophyta; Magnoliopsida; Fagales; Juglandaceae.
CACCUGCUCGGCAUCUCCUCUCUCACUUUCUCUAUCUGCAGCUGCUUGUUCGGAUUGAUAUCUUCCUGGAGCAGUACACAGCUCUCCCUGUUCAGCUUCCAACUUUACAUUAGAGUAUAUAGGAGUCUCAGCAGGUCUCGCACCCAGCAUACCACUUUCAUAUGUAAAAUUCGUCUUCACGAAAAGACUAAAAAAGGAAUAGAAUAUUUACUUCAACCUCACGUUGUUGAGAAGCCGCUCCUGAUAUGAAUACUUUGAAGCAAUUUGUGCCCAACAAACUUUGGCUUAGUGGUUUCACAAAGUAUUUUAGAGCACUGCAUUCUUCCUCCCCAAAUGCCUCCGUGGAAGUUCAUUCUCCAGAGCAGGAAGUAGUUAUUGCUUUGGGAAGCAAUGUGGGUGAUAGACUGCAUAAUUUCAACAAAGCCUUGGAGUUGAUGAACAACUCGGGCAUAAAUAUUACAAGACAUGCUUGUUUGUAUGAAACAGCUCCAGCCUAUGUGACCAAUCAGCCUCUCUUUCUCAACUCAGCAGUUAGAGCUGCCACUAAACUCGGCCCACAUGAAUUAUUGGGAGUGCUCAAGAAAAUAGAAACAGACAUGGGUCGUACUGAUGGUAUAAGGUAUGGUCCAAGACCAAUUGACCUGGACAUAUUGUUCUAUGGAAGGUUCAAGGUCCACUCUGAUCUUCUAACUAUACCCCAUGAAAGAAUUUGGGAGAGACCAUUUGUAAUGGCCCCUCUAAUGGAUUUGUUGGGAUCAGUUGCUGAUUGCGAUACAGUUACCUGCUGGCAUUCCUUUUCAGUGGAUUCUGAUGGACUUUUUGAGUCAUGGGAGAAAAUGGGUGGUGAAUCCCUUAUUGGAAAGGAAGGCAUGAAAAGAGUUUUACCCAUUAAAAGGGGUUUAUGGGACUGGUCACAGAGAACCUCUGUCAUGGGUAUUCUGAAUGUGACCCCAGAUAGUUUUAGUGAUGGGGGAAAGUUCGUUUCUGUGGACGCUGCAAUUUCUCAGGUCCGCUUGAUGAUUUCUGAAGGGGCCGAUAUAAUUGAUAUUGGUGCUCAAUCGACAAGGCCAAUGGCCUCUUGGAUAUCUGCUGAAGAAGAACUAGAUAGGCUUAUCCCUGUUUUAGAAGCUGUUGUAAGGAUGCCUGAGGUAGAGGGAAAGCUCAUAUCAGUGGAUACUUUCUAUUCAGAUGUUGUUUCAGAAGCAAUCAACAAAGGGGCUCAUCUUGUGAAUGAUGUAUCUGCUGGGAAGUUAGAUUCUAACAUGCUUAGAGUUGUUGCAGGCCUGAAGGUUCCAUAUGUUGCAAUGCACAUGAGGGGGAACCCAUCUACGAUGCAAAAUACUGAAAACCUCCAGUAUGAUGAUGUUUGUAAGCAGGUAGCUUCUGAGUUAUACUUGAGAGUUAAGGAUGCGGAAUUAUCAGGUAUUCCAGCUUGGAGGAUAAUUAUUGACCCCGGUGUUGGAUUCUCAAAGAGAAGUGAACAUAAUUUGGACAUCCUAACAGGUUUACCAAGCAUUCGUGCAGAGAUUGCAAAAAAGAGUUUCGCCAUGUCUCAUGCUCCUAUAUUGAUUGGACCCUCGAGAAAGAGAUUUUUAGGUGACAUUUGCUCUCGAACUGCUGCAGAUGAGAGAGAUCCUGCCACUAUUGCUUCUGUCACAGCCAGUGUUUUAGGUGGAGCAAACAUUGUUAGAGUACAUAAUGUAAGAGAUAAUCUUGAUGCUGUGAAGGUCUGUGAUGCAAUGCUGAAGCAGAGGAGAUCUUGCGAUUAAAGGAUGUAAAUUAUUUGUUUCUUUUCUAUUCUAAUCGAAAAUCUGUCUUGAUAUGUUUUUCUGCCACACCUAGUUUCUAGUUUCUGGAUCGGUUAUAGAACUAGAAGGCUGCCAUUGGAAGCAUUUGCUUUGCAACCUCAUGUUUACAGUCAACACACUGUUUUUUUCAGGGCUAAGGAUGGAGGAAGUCUGAUCUGCUACUUUCUGACGUUCGGCGAUCACCACGCGCCCCACCAUGGGCUUCCCAAGUCGCCAAUCUUUCAGACGGGCGGAAAAAUUCGCCGAAUAGAGCGGCGCGUGAGCCACAAGCACGGCCCAUAGGUGAGGGCAACGAGCGCAUGUAACCCACACGCCAUCACUCAUAGUGCUUUUCUAGGUCCAGGACCACCGGCUACUUCAGACAUGAGCAUCCACCAUUCCUCCAGGGUGAUGUG